ACGGCGAGUGAAGCGGUAAAAGCUCAAAUUUGAAAUCUGGUACUUUCAGUGCCCGAGUUGUAAUUUGUAGAAUUUGUCUUUGAUUAGGUCCUUGUCUAUGUUCCUUGGAACAGGACGUCAUAGAGGGUGAGAAUCCCGUUUGGCGAGGAUACCUUUUCUCUGUAAGACUUUUUCGAAGAGUCGAGUUGUUUGGGAAUGCAGCUCAAAGUGGGUGGUAAAUUCCAUCUAAAGCUAAAUAUUGGCGAGAGACCGAUAGCGAACAAGUACAGUGAUGGAAAGAUGAAAAGAACUUUGAAAAGAGAGUGAAAAAGUACGUGAAAUUGUUGAAAGGGAAGGGCAUUUGAUCAGACAUGGUGUUUUUUGCAUGCACUCGCCUCUCGUGGGCUUGGGCCUCUCAAAAAUUUCACUGGGCCAACAUCAAUUCUGGCAGCAGGAUAAAUCAUUAAGAAUGUAGCUACUUCGGUAGUGUUAUAGCUUUUUGGAAUACUGUUAGCCGGGAUUGAGGACUGCGCUUCGGCAAGGAUGUUGGCAUAAUGGUUAAAUGCCGCCCGUCUG
This 555-nucleotide ribosomal RNA is filed under the name Hanseniaspora uvarum. Its description in RNAcentral is "eukaryotic LSU rRNA". It matches the Rfam family "Eukaryotic large subunit ribosomal RNA", at positions 86 to 655 of the family's 3401-position model. The record is from RNAcentral. Lineage: Eukaryota; Fungi; Ascomycota; Saccharomycetes; Saccharomycodales; Saccharomycodaceae.